AGGACGAACGCUGGCGGCGUGCUUAACACAUGCAAGUGGAGCGACGAACCAGGGCUUGCCCUGGGGCAGAGCCGCGAACGGGUGAGUAACACGUGGGUUACCUGCCUCGAUGACCGGGACAACCCGAGGAAACUCGGGCUAAUACCGGAUGUGCCCGCAAGGGGAAGGAAGCUUCGGCCUCCGCAUCGAGAUGGGCCCGCGGCCCAUUAGCUUGUUGGUGAGGUAAAGGCUCACCAAGGCUUCGAUGGGUAGCUGGUCUGAGAGGACGAUCAGCCACACUGGGACUGAGACACGGCCCAGACUCCUACGGGAGGCAGCAGUGGGGAAUCUUGCGCAAUGCGCGAAAGCGUGACGCAGCAACGCCGCGUGGGGGAAGAAGGCUUUCGGGUUGUAAACCCUUUCAGUUGGGACGAAGCUCCGCCGGUGAAUAGCCGGACGGAGUGACGGUACCUUCACAAGAAGCACCGGCUAACUACGCGCCAGCAGCCGCGGU
RNAcentral lists this ribosomal RNA (493 nucleotides) under uncultured bacterium. RNAcentral's name for it is "SSU rRNA". It matches the Rfam family "Bacterial small subunit ribosomal RNA", at positions 26 to 521 of the family's 1533-position model. The record is from RNAcentral.